UAAGCUUAGUUCUAUCAUUGUCUUAGAAAAUGUGCUACAUGUUCUCUAAUUAUGCACUAAUCUUGUUUCGGUAAGUAUAUUAUCAUAGAGGUUGAACUACAAAAUAACAUUUAACUCUUUUUACUAUGACUAUCAGAACCAGACUUCAGAGAAGAUGAUUAGACAUAUUGAAGCUAAGCAUGGACUCUACUACUUGGACAUACUUGGGCACCUGUUCUUCUCCAUUUUAAAUGUUAUGUUUCCCUUAUUGUUUAAAAGUUCAGAAUAUGAAAAUUUAUA
This 279-nucleotide long non-coding RNA is filed under the name Carica papaya (papaya). RNAcentral describes it as "long non-coding RNA (CPAP_LNC013308)". The record is from RNAcentral. Lineage: Eukaryota; Viridiplantae; Streptophyta; Magnoliopsida; Brassicales; Caricaceae.